Molecule: long non-coding RNA, 3983 nt
Organism: Hippocampus zosterae (dwarf seahorse)
Lineage: Eukaryota; Metazoa; Chordata; Actinopteri; Syngnathiformes; Syngnathidae
Exons: 2
Source: RefSeq, a predicted model, not a curated record
UCCAAUAUCCCUGGCGUCAAGAAGCCUCCAAAAUGGUCUCUUUUCAAAAACAUGACAUGUUUGCUCAAUCAUGAACAGAGCGUCACCAAGAGAGCAAGCCAUUUUCAGCACAUCCGAUUGGUUUUUAGAUCGGUAGCUGACCAAUAGUACAGAUUGGUGAACCUUUCAUGAGAGUUAAGAGAUUUCGGCCCAACGCCAGCCAUAUUUUAGUUCACUAAAAGAGUAAAACUCAUGAUGACUCAGUAUGAUGCUGUACAUUUAAACUACAACCACGGCAAUUAACUUUUAAAUCAAUUGAACAUUAUUAUCUUUGUAAUGGUAAAAUAUUCAAUGCCACUCUUGUAUUGAAUAUUAACACCUUGCAUACAUGGUCAUAAUGUUGUGGCCAGUAGGUGUAUCUCUCUACCUGAGUGAAGACUCAUGGACCAACUCCUCAACAAAGAUUAUAAUACGGAGUGCUUUUGACUCUGAAUUUGGAGUGGUUUAAUUGGAGUAAGUCACCAUGGCAAUCUGUGCUGCAUGGCAACAGAUACCGUAUUUUCAUGACAAAAAGGUGCAUUUAGAAGGCUUAUAUGUUCUCCAAAAUGGACAGCUAAUAAGACAGGUCACCCCGUGUAUGCAGAGAGUUCCAAAUUGUGUGUUGAUGUAUGACUUCGAUGAGGGGUCCGCUUGAGUGGCUGAUACUGUGUCAACACCCUACUUGUAUGGAGGAAAAGCAGACGUAACUGAGGAUGGCAUGCAGACGUGAUGAAAUGACGCCAUGUAUGCAUCUGGACACGGACAACCGUGGUGCAGCAACAUCUGGCAGAUUACCGUAUUUUCACGACUAUUCGACGCAUCGUACUAAUGGCCGCAGUCUCAUUAAUGGGUGACAUUUCUGUAUUUUACACAUACACAGGACGCAUCGUACUAAUGGCCGCAGUUUUACAGUGGUAAAACAUAUGCCAGCUUAAACAUACGGCAUGCAUGCGCGCACUCUAACACGUUAGCUUGAAGCAUACGGUAGCAUGCCAAGACAUACAGAUAAGAUAAAAACACGUUUUUAAAAAGGCAACGAAAGCAGAACUGAGUUCGGGUGUAUUUUAUUUAGCCAUCGUACAAUGUUCUCACGUUUUUCGAUCAAUCAUCACCCAGAAAUCCAUCAAAGUCCUCAUCCUCUGUAUCAGAAGCAGAGGACUGCACAUCUCAGUUGUCAAUGAAUGCAUCACAUGCCAGUGUGAGUUGCUACGCAUUGCCGAGCGGAAAGAAGGAGUAGCAACAGCAAAGUCAACAUUUCUCUCGUGUGAAGCUUUCCCACAUUUGAAAGUAAAGAACAGAGCGAAACAUGGUGGCAGCGCGUGUGUGUGUAGAAAGAAUUGAACAAUUGUGCAAGUACCAUAAUCCAUCAAAAACGCCGCGUUCCCUCUCGUUGUUGCAGUCACUCUCAUUGCCAUGUGGCUCCACAGAAAUGAUGCCGGCUUUGCCAAAAACUCGAACAACAGUGCAAGCAGACACGUUCGUCCAAGCAGCCACAAUCCAUUCGCAAAUUGUGGCGUAACUCGCCCAGCGCUGCCUCUCACUCUUUGUAAAGUUGUGUUUGCCAUCGAUCAUCCAUUGUUCCCAUGCCGUUCGCAACUUUACUUUGAACGCCCGGUCGCAACUUUACUUUGAACGCCCGGUUGAUGCCGAUGUCCAGCGGUUGGAGUUCUUUAGUCAAGCCUCCGGGAAUAACGGCAAGCGCAGAGUUCAUUUGCUUGACUUGGUUUUUCACUGCUGCUGUGAGAUGGGCACGCAUGCCAAAAGCAUAACCGAUGGCUUGAAGUUUGAACUGAGCUUCGUAGGCGUGUCUCUUUGUAAAAUUUAUUUUCGGGUGUUCUUAGAAACCAAAACCGAAGUUGUUUUGCAACAAUGCACAUAGCCGCACUCUAUACAGGUGUUGGUACCUGCUUCGGGCGUCCCUUUACCGUCCACUUACACGCCCACCCUUCACUGAUUGGCCAACGUCUUUGCCGCAUGCCUGUCCGCAGUCACUUCCGCCUUUUCUCUAUAUAAACAGCGUGUCGGCUGUCAGUGAGGUUUUGGAACUCAGUGCAUACACAAGACGCUCCGCAUCAUAAGGCGUCCUGUCCAUUUUGGAGAAAAUUUAAGACUUUUAACGGCGCCUUGUAGUCGUGAAAAUACGGUACUAGCUUACCUUAGAUGUGCACUUUAUAAUGUUAUAUUGUUCUGUUUUGAUUUCAUAAAAAAGCUUUUAAAAAAGCUGUUAAAGCAGCUGUUGUGUGAUAAAAUAUUUUUUUCACUGUUGUUGAUGGACAGUAAUAUUGUGUGAGAGAUUAUUUGUGAAUAACUGCUCCAAGUGAAAAAUGUUCAUGUAAAAUUCAUUCAUUCAUUCAUCUUCCGUACCGCUUGAUCCUCACUAGGGUCGCGGGGGGUGCUGGAGCCCAUCCCAGCCGUCUCCGGCCAGUAGGCGGGGGACACCCUGAAUCGGUUGCCAGCCAAUCGCAGGGCACACAGAAACAAACAACCAUUCGCACUCACACUCACACCUAGGGACAAUUUAGAGUGUUCAAUCAGCCUGCCACGCAUGUUUUUGGAAUGUGGGAGGAAACCGGAGCACCCGGAGAAAACCCACGCAGGCCCGGGGAGAACAUGCAAACUCCACACAGGGAGGCCGGAGCUGGAAUCGAACCCGGUACCUCUGCACUGUGAAGCCGACGUGCUAACCACUUGGCUACCGGGCCGCCCCUUCAUGUAAAAUUGAAAAUCGAAAUUGUUAUUUCAGUACAUAUUUGAAUUUGGCACAUAGAAAACUGAUUCAUGAUUCCGUGUUGAUAAGAGAAUUAAAAAGUGGAAAAAUAGGACAAAAAAUGUAAAAGGAAAUUCAGAAACGAUAAAACAUAUGUGAGUAAUCAUGAUUAAUUUUUAGUUCAUUAGAGUUAAUUAUGACAGUUGCAUUUUUAAUUAGAUUAAAUAUUUUAAUCGUUUGACAGCUCUAGUUUUGACUAGUGGGGUCGCAUAGAACAUUUUCUUGAAAAUGACAAUUUUGGGUUGACUUCCCUUUUAAGGUACUCUUUUUUAGAAACUGAAAUAUGGUCAACAUUUACUACAUAUGAGACGCAGAAUUGCUGCUACUGCUGUUGAAAUAUUGCUUAAUAAAUGGUGUGCACGACGUUAAGCCCUGUCUGGAUAUGUGAAAUAGAGGCAAGACAAGGAGAGACAAUGGAAGGGACAGAAGGCACUGUAAAGGCAGAUUGGAAGAGACAGACCACCCCAGACUCUAAGACUUUGUGAGAGUCCAUCAGCUGCAUGCAUAUUCAUGUAGCACUGCGCAAAUUCCUCUGAUGAGGCAGCUGCCAAGGUCACCAGAGAUUACUGAGACCAUGACUAAACAGGCCAUCCAUGGAGCAAGCCCCCCUACCCACCGCAACACCUCGCCGCAGCCUCCAACCAUCCCAUCCAAUUCAACGGCUGAGUGCAGUAACAUACCAACAAGUUUCCCCUCUCUCGAUGAUCUGUGAGUAAGUGAGGCGGACUGAAUAUUUGAAUUUUGAUGAGGGUGCGCAUAACAAUGAGGGUUGGAAUGAUAUGACAAGACAGAGACUUUUGUAGCUUCAUUGCCACCCAGCAUUUUAUAUGACAGAAAAGGAGGGCCAUUUUCCAGAUAUCAAAAAUGAACAUCUAACGCAUUCACGUCAAUUUUAAUUAUUAAUUGCCGAUUUUAGACAAGUCCCUUACAAGUGUAACAAAUGCAUUCAAUUAAGCAUUGUGUAUUACAGCUCCUAACAGUACUUGUAAAGGCCAAUAUGCUGAUCCACUCUCGCCAACUUGACUGUUAUUUAAAGCAUAGCAAACUCGCACCAGCACCACCUUUUCACGGAUAACCAGAAGCAAUUCGUUUACGAAUGUGAUUUCACUUUAGUUUACAUAUUUAAAUGCUCAGAUAUUAAGAUUUGAAUGAGGCAAAAUAACAUGCUUUUUCUCUCAAAUAUGUUGUGAUAAUAAUU